RNAcentral lists this ribosomal RNA (385 nucleotides) under uncultured bacterium. RNAcentral's name for it is "bacterial SSU rRNA". It matches the Rfam family "Bacterial small subunit ribosomal RNA", at positions 790 to 1167 of the family's 1533-position model. The record is from RNAcentral.
GUAGUCCACGCCCUAAACGAUGCGCACUAGAUCGUGGAGGCUCUGACGCCACCAUGGUCGAAGUUAAAAUGUUAAGUGCGCCGCCUGGGGAGUACGGUCGCAAGGCUAAAACUCAAAGGAAUUGACGGGGGCUCACACAAGCGGUGGAGCAUGUGGUUUAAUUCGAAGCAACGCGAAGAACCUUAUCCUGGGCUUGACAUGCAUGGAUUAGGUCCUGGAAACAGGGCUGACACUCUCUGAGUGGAACAUGCACAGGUGCUGCAUGGCUGUCGUCAGCUCGUGCUGUGAAGUGUCGGGUUAAGUCCCUUAACGAGCGAAACCCCUAUCUCUAGUUGCUAACGCGUCAUGGCGAGGACUCUAGCGAGACUGCCGGUGUCAAACCGGA